GCUAGGCAUGGUGGCACAUGCCUGUAAUCCCAGUGCCUUAGGAGGCUGAGGCAGGAGGAUCGUGAACUCAAAACCAGCCUCAGCAAAAGCUAGGUGCUAAGCACCUCAGUGAGACCCUGUCUCUA
This 125-nucleotide small RNA is filed under the name Marmota monax (woodchuck). The record is from RNAcentral. Lineage: Eukaryota; Metazoa; Chordata; Mammalia; Rodentia; Sciuridae.